RNAcentral lists this transfer RNA (67 nucleotides) under Watersipora subtorquata. RNAcentral describes it as "tRNA-Arg". Lineage: Eukaryota; Metazoa; Bryozoa; Gymnolaemata; Cheilostomatida; Watersiporidae. The record is from RNAcentral.
AAAAGGUUAAUACAUAUACUUAGUAUAUUAGAUUUCGAAUCUAAAUAAGUUUUAAUAACACCUUUUU